GAUGAACGCUGGCGGCGUGCCUAAUACAUGCGAGUCGAGCGAACAGAAGAGGAGCUUUCUCCUCUGACGUUAGCGGCGGAUGGGUGAGUCACACGUGGAUAACCUACCUAUAAGACUUAGAUAACUGCGGGAAACCUUAGCUCAUCCCGAAUUAUCUAUUGAACCUCAUGUUUCAAUAAUAAAAUACUGUUUUGCUGUCACUUAUAGAUGGAUUCGCGCCGCUUUAGAUAGUUGGUAAGGUAACGGCUUCCCAAGGCAACGAUGCGUAGCCGAUCUGAGAGGGGGAUAGGCCCCACUAGAACGGAGACACGGCCCAGACUACUACGGGAGGCAGCAGUAGAGAAUCUUACGCAAUGGGAGAAAGCCUGACGGAGCAACGCCGCGUGAGGGAUGAAGGUACUCGGAUCGUAAAAGUCUGUUAUUAGGGAAGAACAAAUGUGUAAGUAACUAGGCACGUCUUGACGGUACCUAAUCAGAAAGCAACGGCUAACUACGUG
RNAcentral lists this ribosomal RNA (497 nucleotides) under uncultured bacterium. RNAcentral's name for it is "partial 16S ribosomal RNA". It matches the Rfam family "Bacterial small subunit ribosomal RNA", at positions 28 to 507 of the family's 1533-position model. The record is from RNAcentral.